GACACGCCCCUUUGAGCUGCGUGCUACAGCGAGGCUAAGCUAGUGGGGGCAAAGUUUCAGUGCAUUCCGUUGAUGUAGACGGCGUGAAAACGGAAACAACAAGUAUGCCGGCUCACUGUGCUGCAUACAAUUACACACUGCGUCGUACGAUUGAGACAAGGAAACUUGGAAUGACUUUUCAUAGGUUUCCCAGAGACUAUGGGUUGAGGAGGAAUUGGAAGUUUGUCGGCUUAGACCUGGUGUCAUUCCAUCAGUGUUAAACUUCCCGGCUCAUCUUGGAAGAGUACGUGCCAGAAAGACCACGACCAAGCAGCCUUGAGAUCUUAGGCAGCGUCUCCCUGAGGUCCCUCUCUAUCUCCCCACACAUCCACCAACCACUGGAAGACAUCUCCAAAGUUCUGCCGGGCCAGCUCAGCUUCCCCUCAGAAGAAGUGCCACCAGAUGAAGGAGCCUUUUGAGAGGCAGCUGGCAUCGUGAUUGGACUGUACUUUGGUCUGUUCCAAUCCAGCUUCAGCUCCAGAGACGGCAGGCGGGACGAGUCAACGGAGGCCUGGUGGACGAAGGCAUGCAGCUGAGUACAAUCCAGAAAACAACAGAGGAGGAGUGCAGGGCCAGAACAAGCAGAGUAGCAUCGUAUGUCUCUUAGAAAACAUCAUAGUAUAGCCUUUGCUAUGAAAAAACGCCAUCAUAUACAUCGUAUAUUGUACAAAUAACAAGUCAAAGGAAAGAGACAUCAACUGUAGAAUUGUAGUAAUUGUGGGCUGACUGAUUUACUGAUUAUCAGUAUUUUAUUUUUUACUGAUUUACGGUAAUAAAUACAUUUAAAAACGGCGCUACUUUGGCUCUGAACCUUUAUCUACCUGUGGUCGCUCUGUCUUCUGGAGUGAUUUGAUUGGUUAUACGUAACGAAUAAAACUCCUUUAACUUAACAUCUGUAAACAAAACAAAAACGUA
Molecule: long non-coding RNA, 954 nt
Organism: Amphiprion ocellaris (clown anemonefish)
Lineage: Eukaryota; Metazoa; Chordata; Actinopteri; Pomacentridae
Source: Ensembl